This is a long non-coding RNA of Pungitius pungitius (ninespine stickleback), 358 nucleotides long. RefSeq lists it as uncharacterized. The record is from RefSeq and is a predicted model, not a curated record. Lineage: Eukaryota; Metazoa; Chordata; Actinopteri; Perciformes; Gasterosteidae. The transcript is spliced from 3 exons.
UCCACCUUCACGUCUCCGAGGUGUCCGCUACCUUCUUUGGGUCAACUUGUACCAUUCCUUCAAGAAUUGUCGCAAUAUUACAAUAUUGCUGCACGGAGGGCCUCCACCAUGGGACCAGCAAAAAGAAUGAUGGGACCUCUAAUAUGUAUUCUACUGCUGGCAGCUGUACCUACAUCUGCCAAUGUAACAGCGGCCCAAACUGCUGCCACGAAUGCCACAGUGACCUCACCAAGAGUCAAUGUGACCUCACAAAAAGUCAACAUGAGCUCACCAAGAGUCAACGUAACCUCACCAGUGGUCAACAUGACCCCACCAAGAGUCAACAUGACCUCGCCAAGAGUCAACAUGACCUCGACAA